Molecule: long non-coding RNA, 1973 nt
Organism: Chloebia gouldiae (Gouldian finch)
Lineage: Eukaryota; Metazoa; Chordata; Aves; Passeriformes; Passeridae
Source: Ensembl
UUCUUUUCUCGUGGAGCUCCGCGUUUUCUCGUGGAGCUCCGCGGCUCGGAGUUCUUUUCUCGUGGAGCUCCGCGUUUUCUCAUGGAGCUCCGCGCUCGGCGCGAUUUUCUCGUGGAGCUCUGCGGCUCGGGCCGAUCUCGGAGCUCCGAGGCUGGGAUUGAUUUGGGGUGUCGGAAAUUCGGAUUUUUCCAGGAUUUUUUCCCGGGAUUUCUGUGCUUCACCUAUAUGGGAUGUAUAGAAUCCAUCCCCUAAGGUUUCCGUGUUUCACCUAUAUGGGAUGUAUGGAAUCCAUCCCCCAGGAUUUCCGUGUUUCACCUAUAUGGGAUGUAUGGAAUCCAUCCCCUAAGGUUUCCGUGUUUCACCUAUAUGGGAUGUUUGGAAUCCAUGCCCCGGGAUUUCCGUGUUUCACCUAUAUGGGAUGUAUAGAACAGGGAAUUCCCGUGGGAGACAGGGAAUUUAUUCUAUAGGUCCGCCACGUAUACGGCCGAUAUUUAACGUGCUCCCCACACAUUCUAUAUUGGCCAUACAUCGCAGCCUUGAUCCGACCUACGUUCUGCUCUAUAGAAAUUUAUAUUUUCUAUAUUUUAUCCCUUUAUUUGGGGGUAUAAAAUGUCUAUCAUUUUAUAUGAUCCAUAUUUUUAUAUCAUUUUUUUUCGGGUAGGAAAUGGAUAUUAUCCAUAUUUUGUGCCUUUUUUGGGGUUAGGAGCAGGAUUGGGGUCAGGAUUGGGGUCAGGAUCGGGAUCAGGAUCGGGAUCGGGAUCAGGAUCGGGAUCAGGAUUGGGAUCAGGAUUGGGAUCAGGAUUGGGGUCAGGAUCAGGUUUGGGGUCAGGAUUGGGGUCAGGAUCGGGAUCAGGAUCGGGAUCAGGAUCGGGGUCAGGAUCAGGAUUUGGGAUCGGAUUUGGGAUCAGGUUUGGGGUCAGGAUUGGGGUCAGGAUUGGGGUCAGGAUCAGGAUUGGGAUCAGGAUUGGGGUCAGGAUCAGGAUUGGGGUCAGGAUUGGGGUCAGGAUCGGGAUCAGGAUCAGGAUCAGGAUUGGGAUCAGGAUCGGGAUCAGGAUUUGGGAUCGGGAUCAGGAUUGGGAUCAGGAUCGGGAUCGGGAUUGGGAUCAGGAUCAGGAUUGGGGUCAGGAUCGGGAUCAGGAUCGGAUUUGGGGUCAGGAUUGGGAUCAGGAUCAGGAUUGGGGUCAGGAUUGGGACCAGGAUUGGGACCAGGAUUGGGAUCAGGAUCAGGAUCGGGGUCAGAAUCAGGAUCGGGAUCAGGAUUGGGGUCAGGAAUGGGAUCAGGAUUGGAAUCGGGAUCGGGUUUGGGAUCAGAUUUGGGAUCAGGUUUGGGAUCAGGUUUGGGAUCAGAUUUGGGAUCGGGAUCGGGAUCAGAUUUGGGAUCAGGUUUGGGAUCAGUUUUGGGAUCAGGUUUGGGAUCAGGUUUGGGAUCAGUUUUGGGAUCAGGUUUGGGAUCAGGUUUGGGAUCGGGUUUGUGAUCGGGUUUGUGAUUGGAUUUGGGAUCGGAUUUGGGAUCGGAUUUGGGAUCAGAUUUGGGAUCAGGUUUGGGAUCAGAUUUGGGAUCAGGAUUGGGAUCAGAUUUGGGAUCAGGUUUGGGAUCAGGUUUGGGAUCAGAUUUGGGAUCAGAUUUGGGAUCAGGUUUGGGAUCAGGUUUGGGAUCAGGUUUGGGAUCAGAUUUGGGAUCAGAUUUGGGAUCAGGUUUGGGAUCAGAUUUGGGAUCAGGUUUGGGAUCGGAUUUGGGAUCGGGUUUGUGAUCAGAUUUGGGAUCAGGUUUUGGAAUCAGAUUUGGGAUCGGAUUUGGGAUCGGGAUUGGAUUUGGGAUCGGAUUUGGGAUCAGGUUUGGGAUUGGAUUUGGGAUCGGAUUUGGGAUCGGGAUUCGGGAUCGGAUUUGGGAUUGGGUUCGGGAUGGGAUUUGGGAUGGGAAUCGGGAUGGGAUUUGGGAUGGGAUUUGGGAUCGGGAUGGGAUUUGGGAUGGG